This 1372-nucleotide long non-coding RNA is filed under the name Solanum tuberosum (potato). Its description in RNAcentral is "long non-coding RNA (STUB_LNC008934)". Lineage: Eukaryota; Viridiplantae; Streptophyta; Magnoliopsida; Solanales; Solanaceae. The record is from RNAcentral.
UUGGAUGUCUGUAGUUUACAGGUAUGCUAUUACAACUAAUCGUUUUGCUCUGAAAAUAACCAUAUUUUAUAAUUUCUAUGGCUUUUUUAAACAACUUCUUGAUUUGUAUGUCUAUUUUGAAUUCUGAUUUAGGUGGCUCUAUGAUUUCAAUUCUCGUGAGUACUUUUACGAUGGUUCAUCAUAUGGCACCCAACAUACCCUUCAAAACUUCUGAGGAUAUCUUCAAUGAAAUUAGACUACAUUUUCAAUUAUCCUUUUCUUUGACAUUUUGAUGACAAACACCAUAUAGUUUAACCAUCUGAUUAUGAAAUGAAAGUAUUCCAUCGAGGUGCAUUUCUGGUCAUGGUCAUGUAUUAUGUUAAAGUCCUUUAACCUAGAAGAUGAAAAUAGAUGAAUGUUUUCCUUUAUCUCGAUUAAUGCCUCAACUUUCUGGACAACACCAUCAAUAUAAACCUAAAAAGAUAUCACCCUUGGUUCUCUCUUGAUUUAGCAGAGAUAGUUCAUCUGUUAAGUUUGUUUUGGUAAAUAACAAUAAACCUUGCCCAAAUAUUCAUCUCACUUAUAGCUCACUCAAAUGUUGCAUCAAGAAUUUUGAUUGUAUUUGUAUCAUAUUUAAGUGCUUUACAGGUUCACUAUAUAAACCAAGUUCGAGCUCUCUUUCUCCUAUAUAAAAUAAACGCAAUGAAUCAUAUUGUUGCAAUGUGUUUUGUUGUGUAUUUUAUACUAAGCUCCAUCCAACUGCUAUGAAGUCUUCCAAAGUAAGCAGAGUUAUUGUCAUUCCCUUAUCUUGCUUUCUUAUAUAUAGUAACAUACAACAGGAGGCCUUUUUCUGAUUUUUCACGUUUUUAGUGUUGUUCAUCUUCAUUUUUGCCCUUAAAAGCAAGGUAUAAAGGUUGAAAUGAAUUUCAAAAUGAUAAGUCUGCAGUUCCCUACAUAGUUGGGAUGGGGCACAGGAAAAAAAGGUAUAAAGGUUGAAAUGAAUUUCAAAAUGAUAAGUCUGCAGUUCCCUACAUAGUGGGAUGGGGCACAGGAAAAAGAAAUGUAUAUGAGGCAGAAACUUUUGUCAAAAUUGAUGAUGUUAGACUUUUGUAAUUUUAAAAUCAGAUGCACAUCUGAAUAAACUAUGGUCUUGAUGUUAUGGGGAUGCCAAAUGAUGUCAUUAAUGUAACUUAUUUUUAAGUUCUACUUUUUGAGAAUGCUGGUGAGACAUUCCAAGCAAAAGUCAUGUAUCUGCAAGAAAUUGAUACUGAAACUUAGAGGUUGAGCAUUGUGAAGUGGAUAAAUUUCAUGUAAUGAGGAAUUCUGAGAAAUCAUUUUCUUUUGUAAUCAAGAUUUUAACCUGAUAAUGUUGGUAGCAUAUAUUUGUACUACA